AAUACAUGCAAGUCGAACGCUUCUUUCCUCCCGAGUGCUUGCACUCAAUUGGAAAGAGGAGUGGCGGACGGGUGAGUAACACGUGGGUAACCUACCCAUCAGAGGGGGAUAACACUUGGAAACAGGUGCUAAUACCGCAUAACAGUUUAUGUCGCAUGGCAUAAGAGUGAAAGGCGCUUUCGGGUGUCGCUGAUGGAUGGACCCGCGGUGCAUUAGCUAGUUGGUGAGGUAACGGCUCACCAAGGCCACGAUGCAUAGCCGACCUGAGAGGGUGAUCGGCCACACUGGGACUGAGACACGGCCCAGACUCCUACGGGAGGCAGCAGUAGGGAAUCUUCGGCAAUGGACGAAAGUCUGACCGAGCAACGCCGCGUGAGUGAAGAAGGUUUUCGGAUCGUAAAACUCUGUUGUUAGAGAAGAACAAGGACGUUAGUAACUGAACGUCCCCUGACGGUAUCUAACCAGAAAGCCACGGCUAACUACGUGCCAGCAGCCGCGGUAAUACGUAGGUGGCAAGCGUUGUCCGGAUUUAUUGGGCGUAAAGCGAGCGCAGGCGGUUUCUUAAGUCUGAUGUGAAAGCCCCCGGCUCAACCGGGGAGGGUCAUUGGAAACUGGGAGACUUGAGUGCAGAAGAGGAGAGUGGAAUUCCAUGUGUAGCGGUGAAAUGCGUAGAUAUAUGGAGGAACACCAGUGGCGAAGGCGGCUCUCUGGUCUGUAACUGAC
This 723-nucleotide ribosomal RNA is filed under the name uncultured Bacilli bacterium. Its description in RNAcentral is "bacterial SSU rRNA". It matches the Rfam family "Bacterial small subunit ribosomal RNA", at positions 50 to 744 of the family's 1533-position model. The record is from RNAcentral. Lineage: Bacteria; Bacillati; Bacillota; Bacilli.